RNAcentral lists this ribosomal RNA (504 nucleotides) under uncultured bacterium. RNAcentral describes it as "partial 16S ribosomal RNA". It matches the Rfam family "Bacterial small subunit ribosomal RNA", at positions 30 to 523 of the family's 1533-position model. The record is from RNAcentral.
AUUGAACGCUGGCGGCAGGCUUAACACAUGCAAGUCGAGCGGAGCGAGGGUGCUUGCACCUUAGCUUAGCGGCGGACGGGUGAGUAAUGCUUAGGAAUCUGCCUAUUAGUGGGGGACGACAUUCCGAAAGGGAUGCUAAUACCGCAUACGCCCUACGGGGGAAAGCAGGGGAUCUUCGGACCUUGCGCUAAUAGAUGAGCCUAAGUCGGAUUAGCUAGUUGGUGGGGUAAAGGCCUACCAAGGCGACGAUCUGUAGCGGGUCUGAGAGGACGAUCCGCCACACUGGGACUGAGACACGGCCCAGACUCCUACGGGAGGCAGCAGUGGGGAAUAUUGGACAAUGGGCGGAAGCCUGAUCCAGCCAUGCCGCGUGUGUGAAGAAGGCCUUUUGGUUGUAAAGCACUUUAAGCGAGGAGGAGGCUACUAGUAUUAAUACUACUGGAUAGUGGACGUUACUCGCAGAAUAAGCACCGACUAACUCUGUGCCAGCAGCAGCCGCCGUAA